AAAUUGAAGAGUUUGAUCAUGGCUCAGAUUGAACGCUGGCGGCAGGCCUAACACAUGCAAGUCGAACGGUAACAGGAAGCAGCUUGCUGCUUCGCUGACGAGUGGCGGACGGGUGAGUAAUGUCUGGGAAACUGCCUGAUGGAGGGGGAUAACUACUGGAAACGGUAGCUAAUACCGCAUAAUGUCGCAAGACCAAAGAGGGGGACCUUCGGGCCUCUUGCCAUCGGAUGUGCCCAGAUGGGAUUAGCUUGUUGGUGGGGUAACGGCUCACCAAGGCGACGAUCCCUAGCUGGUCUGAGAGGAUGACCAGCCACACUGGAAC
RNAcentral lists this ribosomal RNA (322 nucleotides) under Escherichia coli. RNAcentral describes it as "bacterial SSU rRNA". It matches the Rfam family "Bacterial small subunit ribosomal RNA", at positions 1 to 319 of the family's 1533-position model. The record is from RNAcentral. Lineage: Bacteria; Pseudomonadati; Pseudomonadota; Gammaproteobacteria; Enterobacterales; Enterobacteriaceae.